This 858-nucleotide ribosomal RNA is filed under the name Exserohilum pedicellatum. RNAcentral's name for it is "eukaryotic LSU rRNA". It matches the Rfam family "Eukaryotic large subunit ribosomal RNA", at positions 64 to 940 of the family's 3401-position model. Lineage: Eukaryota; Fungi; Ascomycota; Dothideomycetes; Pleosporales; Pleosporaceae. The record is from RNAcentral.
ACCAACAGGGAUUGCCCUAGUAACGGCGAGUGAAGCGGCAACAGCUCAAAUUUGAAAUCUGGCUCUUUCAGAGUCCGAGUUGUAAUUUGCAGAGGGCGCUUUGGCUUUGGCAGCGGUCCAAGUUCCUUGGAACAGGACGUCACAGAGGGUGAGAAUCCCGUACGUGGUCGCUAGCUAUUGCCGUGUAAAGCCCCUUCGACGAGUCGAGUUGUUUGGGAAUGCAGCUCUAAAUGGGAGGUAAAUUUCUUCUAAAGCUAAAUAUUGGCCAGAGACCGAUAGCGCACAAGUAGAGUGAUCGAAAGAUGAAAAGCACUUUGGAAAGAGAGUCAAACAGCACGUGAAAUUGUUGAAAGGGAAGCGCUUGCAGCCAGACUUGCUUGCAGUUGCUCAUCCGGGCUUUUGCCCGGUGCACUCUUCUGCAGGCAGGCCAGCAUCAGUUUGGGCGGUGGGAUAAAGGUCUCUGUCAUGUACCUCUCUUCGGGGAGGCCUUAUAGGGGAGGCGACAUACCACCAGCCUAGACUGAGGUCCGCGCAUCUGCUAGGAUGCUGGCGUAAUGGCUGUAAGCGGCCCGUCUUGAAACACGGACCAAGGAGUCUAACAUCUAUGCGAGUGUUUGGGUGUCAAGCCCGAGCGCGUAAUGAAAGUGAACGGAGGUGGGAACCCGCAAGGGUGCACCAUCGACCGAUCCUGAAGUUUACGGAAGGAUUUGAGUAAGAGCAUGGCUGUUGGGACCCGAAAGAUGGUGAACUAUGCUUGAAUAGGGUGAAGCCAGAGGAAACUCUGGUGGAGGCUCGCAGCGGUUCUGACGUGCAAAUCGAUCGUCAAAUUUGGGCAUAGGGGCGAAAGACUAAUCGAAC